This 87-nucleotide transfer RNA is filed under the name Magnetospira sp. QH-2. RNAcentral's name for it is "tRNA-Leu (GAG) (tRNA-Leu-GAG-1-1)". It matches the Rfam family "tRNA". From Rfam's summary of the family: Transfer RNA (tRNA) molecules are approximately 80 nucleotides in length. Lineage: Bacteria; Pseudomonadati; Pseudomonadota; Alphaproteobacteria; Rhodospirillales; Thalassospiraceae. RNAcentral also lists the same sequence under 2 other names. The record is from RNAcentral.
GCGGUCGUGGCGGAACUGGUAGACGCGCAGCGUUGAGGUCGCUGUCCUAGCAAUAGGGUGGAAGUUCGAGUCUUCUCGACCGCACCA